RNAcentral lists this ribosomal RNA (253 nucleotides) under uncultured bacterium. RNAcentral's name for it is "partial 16S ribosomal RNA". It matches the Rfam family "Bacterial small subunit ribosomal RNA", at positions 524 to 776 of the family's 1533-position model. The record is from RNAcentral.
UACAGAGGGUGCGAGCGUUAAUCGGAAUCAUUGGGCGUAAAGGGUGCGUAGGUGGUUAAUUAAGUCAGAUGUGAAAUCCCUAGGCUCAACCUAGGAAUUGCGUUUGAAACUGAUUAGCUAGAGUAUAGUAGAGGGAAGUGGAAUUUCCGGUGUAGCGGUGAAAUGCGUAGAUAUCGGAAGGAACACCAGUGGCGAAGGCGACUUCCUGGACUGUUACUGACACUGAGGCACGAAAGCGUGGGGAGCGAACAGG